GGCGGUGCAGGUGGCGGUGGGUCUGGCGCCGCUCAAGGCGGUGCAGGCCCGGCUGGCGGCGAUCCGCGCCGGCACCGCCG
This 80-nucleotide transfer RNA is filed under the name Blastochloris tepida. RNAcentral's name for it is "Blastochloris sp. GI tRNA-Leu". The record is from RNAcentral. Lineage: Bacteria; Pseudomonadati; Pseudomonadota; Alphaproteobacteria; Hyphomicrobiales; Blastochloridaceae.